Molecule: transfer RNA, 77 nt
Filed under: Bacillus sp. UFRGS-B20
Lineage: Bacteria; Bacillati; Bacillota; Bacilli; Caryophanales; Bacillaceae
Description: tRNA-Met
Rfam family: tRNA
About the family: Transfer RNA (tRNA) molecules are approximately 80 nucleotides in length.
Source: RNAcentral
GGACCUUUAGCUCAGCUGUUAGAGCAGACGGCUCAUAACCGUCCGUCCGUAAGGUUCGAGUCCUACAAGGUCCACCU